UACAAUUCUAUCAAAAGAACCCCAAUGUAAUAGGACUGACUAGAAAAAGGGAAGGUGAACAGGAGGGGGAGUCCCCCUGUUAUAUUUAGCUUUUAGGUCUCUGGGGAACACAAAACCCAGAUGCUCCUGAAUGUGAGCUUAGCAACUGCUGCUGAGACUGCUGAGUAGGGGGCACCAUGGGAGCCACCAGCAGUGAGCUGGCUGCUGCUGCUCCCUUUUCACUAAGUGAAGCUGUCUGCAGACUCCCUACAGUGACUCGCACUCUUCCUCCUCUCCCUCCCUAGAGGAAUUCUUCCCUUAGAGGGGCAUGACUACGUUUUCUAGGUACCCCUCACCCCAGUGCCUAUUUGGCCCCACAGUGGCACCAGAAGGGACAGCCUCCACCUCACUGGCACAUGCAGAUCCAGCACUUUGUGCUGAGCUAAGAAUAGAAUUUGCAGUCACCACAGUGACAAGAUUUCAGCUCGGAAGGCUGGGCUUAUCCCUCCCUAUAGGCUCUGGACGGUAACAUGCAGGGGGUAAAAAUCUCUGCAUGACCAGUGCUGCAGAGUUCAGUUCUCAACACCACUGGCACCCUCUGGGACGAUGGAUAACAAUCAAGUGAAGGGAAACAAGGAGGCUGGGGACAGGGGCAAGGGAGGGAACCCAGUGAAAAUAGACAGGAGGAUAAGUGGCAAAUAUAAGCCUGUAUUUUUCUCUGCUGAAGGGACAAAGGAAAGUAUGGGGGCUUCUUUCUGCUUCUAAACAUAAAGGACUUGAAACCCAAGCAAGAUUAAAGACGUACUUCAUAGAGUCGUGCUACGGAGUAACUGAGAAACCAUAUCCAGUAAAAGACCUAAUUAGGGCAGCAGCACUUCCAUCUGGAAUUAUGAAUUUCUCUCUGGGCAAACUAGGGACACGCUAUAUCCUUCCUUGUCCCUACCUUCUAUCCGAGGACAGGAGGUGGUACAGGUACUUCUACCAUCUAUCUGUUGUGUUCUCUGCUCUACAAACUACUGUAAAAGGAAAACACAUCCCAACUUUCUCCUACCUUUCUUCACCCCUAGUGCUGGCCGGAAACAGCUUCUCCAACUUCUAAAAACAGCUUAAGGCUGAUCCUUUACCUCUUUUGCAUGGAUAUAUCCUGGUGGUCAGCAGCAGUAGCCACCUCACCACUCCGAGCAACAGCCAGCACACAGUGUUAACACAAGAACAAGGUAAGGCCCAUCCCCAGAAUCCACAAAAAGUUCUUCAAGUCGUAUUUGUGACCAGAAGCCGUGGUGAUGGAGGUAUUGGCAGGAAAAGCAUAUUUAUAUACAUCCCACUUUGUCUUUAUUACGCUUGAGUGAAGCAGCUUGUCUAUUAUCCCAUCCAUAGCCCCAAACAUCUGAAGACAGUACAAUUACAUGAAUAAAUGGAUUUGAAAAUGAAAAUACACUUCAGUAAAAAGUAAACAAA
This is a long non-coding RNA of Chinchilla lanigera (long-tailed chinchilla), 1437 nucleotides long. RefSeq lists it as uncharacterized. Lineage: Eukaryota; Metazoa; Chordata; Mammalia; Rodentia; Chinchillidae. The transcript is spliced from 2 exons. The record is from RefSeq and is a predicted model, not a curated record.